AUAAUUUCAUUAUAGGUUAAAGUGAAUGGAAGCUGAGCACCAGGUAGGAAACCGGAAAAGAGGUGGUGAGUCCAUCGGACUGCUUAAGUACCAAGCUCCCUUUCGGAUCCAAUCCUAGACAUGCAUACCGCCAUUGCCACACCUUAACGUCAUGGAUAUUUCUAGGAAACCGAUUUGAUUAAGUCAUUUUUAGGAAAAGUGAUUAAUUUUGGAAAAUACUUUCAUUGCGGAAGCUUUGCUUGUUGUCGUGUUAUUUUGAAAUCAAUUGUUGUUUUUGAAAACGCGCCCUAAAGCUAUCCAAUUUCAACAGUUAAAAUAAGUAAUACCUAUCUUAGUAAUACAUAUUAAAACCAUCAAAAAUAAUUAAGCGGCCUUAUUACAUUUAAAAACCCAAAACUUCAAACGUAAAUAAAAGGAUGUCCAGUUCACCAGAAGAAAAUAAAACUUUCAGAACGGGUGGCCACUCCGAAUUUCCUCACAGCUCCAAGCCCACUAUGGUUGGGGAUUUCCUGCGUGGAUGAAAAUAAAAGGGGUGAGUUUGGGGAAACUCAGUGUAUAAGGAAAACCCAUUCAAAGCCCAAGUCAGCUCCAGCCCAUUAGGCCUAAGCCCAUUCAGGUAACAGUGGUACUGGGCAAGAGCCAUUUUCAGAUUACAAUAAACUAGGCCUUAGCCCCUUAUUCAGAUAACAAUAUGGCCCAUAGGCCCAUUUCAAAAUACAUGCAACAUCAAUAACAUAUGCAAGCCCAUUUGGGGAGACUACUCAACCUACCAACCACUACACUCCACUCGUACCAGCCCUACAAUCCAUGUGGGGAAUAGCUCAACCCACCCAGCCCAACACUCCACAGUUGCAGCCUUGCUGCUCAGUUAACAGUAAAUUGAGGAAAAGCCUCCAGUACGUGGACAAGCCACUUUCAGUACUUCCUCCGUCAAUAUCCCAAUCCCAUGCAUCAGAUAAUAACAACAUGGCAUGCAGUAAAUAACAACGGUCAAACAUGCAUUUAGGUCAAUUUAACCCUAGGGGUAUUUCGGUAAUUUAUCUACUAGGGGCAAAACUGUAAAUUUUUCACUUUUAAAGGUAUUUCAGUAAUUUAUCUAUUUUAGGGUUUUUCAUGCAUAUUCCUACUUUUCACAUACUAACAGAAUCACGUACCGAGGGUUCUUACCGAAUUGGGCCCGUUGGCCCAUCAUUCCAAUUUUGGCCCAUUAAGCCCAAAAAUAUCGAGGGCACAGAAAUCACGCACUUUGCAGUCCAAAUUUUGCAGCUUACCAAAAACAUUAAUCGAUUUACCUCACGAGCAUUCGCACACUCACAAAUCUACAAAAUACCAGUUUUUGACAUUUCGGCUUUUCGACUUUUGCCGAUCCAGACUAAGAAAGAGGGUGUUAGUUACACACCUGUUUGUGACGAUAUGCUGACGAGAUCCAAACACGAACCGCCUACAAUUGGAUUACUAACACGUUAAUCUAACUAUUCAAAUACAAACUACGUAUUAACCCCUUACAAUAUUCGGCCAACCACACCUACAGAUCAUAGUAAGCUUAUAAGAAAUCAAUAAGCAACUCAUUAACAAAUUUUUGUCAAUGUUUACCACAUAAUCAUAAUUUUACUGCAAGCUGUCUUCCUGAGCAACAGUCACUAAAUCAUUUAUAACUGGAGAUACGAAACUCAAAAUCAAGUGCCAUUAAUUUUCCCUAAAAAUAGACUCAUAUAUCUUAUAUCCAUAAAAUUUUCAGAAUUUUUGGUUUGGCCAAUCAAUACCAGAUUUUUCUCAAAGUUUCGCAUGUUUCACUGUUUGACUAAUCUGACCACUCUUCAUUACGAAUCAAAUUUCUCAUUGUAAAGCAUUGAAAAUAUGUUAUCGUUUAUUUCAUUUGAAACUAGACUCAACAAGCUUUAAUUACAUAAUUUAUUCAGCUUCUA
Molecule: long non-coding RNA, 1925 nt
Filed under: Gossypium barbadense (sea-island cotton)
Lineage: Eukaryota; Viridiplantae; Streptophyta; Magnoliopsida; Malvales; Malvaceae
Description: long non-coding RNA (GBAR_LNC002830)
Source: RNAcentral